RNAcentral lists this transfer RNA (76 nucleotides) under [Mycoplasma] phocae. Its description in RNAcentral is "Mycoplasma phocidae tRNA-Arg". It matches the Rfam family "tRNA". From Rfam's summary of the family: Transfer RNA (tRNA) molecules are approximately 80 nucleotides in length. Their secondary structure includes four short double-helical elements and three loops (D, anti-codon, and T loops). RNAcentral also lists the same sequence under 1 other name. Lineage: Bacteria; Bacillati; Mycoplasmatota; Mycoplasmoidales; Metamycoplasmataceae. The record is from RNAcentral.
GGUCGCGUAGCUCAGUGGAUAGAGCACAAGCCUCCUAAGCUUGGGGUCGCAGGUUCAACUCCCGUCGCGAUCGCCA